UAUGUGAUCGUCUCUCGCAUAUCAAUAAGCGGAGGAAAAGAAACUAACAAGGAUUCCCCUAGUAACGGCGAGUGAAGCGGGACGAGCUCAAAUUUGAAAUCUUAAAGGGUUUCCCUUUACGAAUUGUAGUUUAAAGAAGUGUUUUCUGUUGAGGUUUUGGUAAAAGUUCUUUGGAAUAGGACAUCAUAGAGGGUGAGAAUCCCGUAUUUGACCUUUACUUUCAACUUUGUGAUACACUUUCAAAGAGUCGGAUUGUUUGGGAAUGCAGUCCAAAAUGGGUGGUAAAUUUCAUCUAAAGCUAAAUAUUGGCGAGAGACCGAUAGCGAACAAGUACCGUGAGGGAAAGAUGAAAAGGACUUUGAAAAGAGAGUUAAACAGUACGUGAAAUUGUCAAAAGGGAAGCGUUUGACACCAGUGUUGUUUUUCUGAAAAUCAAUUAAAGAACUGUUUAUGCUAAGCUGUUUAGACUUUAUCAGCUAUCUGUUUAGUUUUGAGCUUUUCUUUAAUGCACUUUUCAGUUAACAAGUCAACAUCAAUUUCUUUUGCUGUAAAAAAGCUUGAGGAAGGUGGCUUGAGAUUCGUCUUAAGUGUUUAUAGCCUCUUGCCUAUGCAGUCGGAGAGAUUGAGGUCUGCAGCGUAGAUCCUUCGGGGCUAAAUGCAUUUGUGCUAAGUUAUAGCAUUUUAUAGACAACUUGUUGACUAUGAUUUGUCUUGUAGCUUACUCGCUUAUGUUAUUUUACCUACGCUUAGGAUGUUGAGCGCAUGUCUCUCUCU
This 774-nucleotide ribosomal RNA is filed under the name uncultured Neocallimastigales. RNAcentral's name for it is "partial large subunit ribosomal RNA". It matches the Rfam family "Eukaryotic large subunit ribosomal RNA", at positions 24 to 616 of the family's 3401-position model. Lineage: Eukaryota; Fungi; Neocallimastigomycota; Neocallimastigomycetes; Neocallimastigales. The record is from RNAcentral.